RNAcentral lists this transfer RNA (64 nucleotides) under Bolitobius castaneus. Its description in RNAcentral is "tRNA-Ile". Lineage: Eukaryota; Metazoa; Arthropoda; Insecta; Coleoptera; Staphylinidae. The record is from RNAcentral.
AAUGAAGUGCCUGAUUUAAGGGUCAUUUUGAUAGAAUGGAAUAUGUAAGCAAUUACCUUCAUUA